GCCAGUGUGGUAUAGUGGUUUGCAUGUUAAACUAGGACUGUGAAACCAGAGUUCAAAUCCAUAUUCAGCCA
Non-coding RNA from Phrynosoma platyrhinos (Desert horned lizard), 71 nucleotides. NCBI's taxonomy places the organism in Eukaryota, Metazoa, Chordata, Lepidosauria, Squamata, Phrynosomatidae. The record is from the annotation of a GenBank genome assembly.